Molecule: ribosomal RNA, 369 nt
Filed under: Theileria velifera
Lineage: Eukaryota; Apicomplexa; Aconoidasida; Piroplasmida; Theileriidae
Description: SSU rRNA
Rfam family: Eukaryotic small subunit ribosomal RNA
Source: RNAcentral
AAAUAACAAUACGGGGCUUAAUGUCUUGUAAUUGGAAUGAUGGGAAUUUAAACCUCUUCCAGAGUAUCAAUUGGAGGGCAAGUCUGGUGCCAGCAGCCGCGGUAAUUCCAGCUCCAAUAGCGUAUAUUAAAAUUGUUGCAGUUAAAAAGCUCGUAGUUGAAUUUCUGCUACAUUGCCUAUUCUCCUUUACGAGUUUGGGUCUUUUGUGGCUUAUCUGGGUUCGCUUGCGUUCCCGGUGUUUUACUUUGAGAAAAUUAGAGUGCUCAAAGCAGGCUUUUGCCUUGAAUAGUUUAGCAUGGAAUAAUAAAGUAGGACUUUGGUUCUAUUUUGUUGGUUUUAGGUACCAAAGUAAUGGUUAAUAGGAACAGU